GACGAACGCUGGCGGCGUGCCUAAUACAUGCAAGUCGAGCGAAGCGGCGGAUGGGUGAAUAACGCGUGGGUAACCUGUCCUUAAGUCUGGGAUACCAUUUGGAAACAGAUGCUAAUACCGGAUACUAAAGGAUGGACUUGGGAUGCAUUAGCUAGUUGGUAAGGUAACGGCUUACCAAGGCGAUGAUGCAUAGCCGGUUUGAGAGGCUGACCAGCCACAUUGGGACUGAGACACGGCCCAGACUCCUACGGGAGGCAGCAGUAGGGAAUCUUCCACAAUGGGCGAAAGGCUGAUGGAGCAACGCCGCGUGAGUGAAGAAGGUGUUCGGGUCGUAAAGCUCUGUUGUUGGUGAAGCGGUAAUCGACCAAAAAGUCACGGCUAACUACGUGCCAGCAGCCGCGGUAAUUC
This 408-nucleotide ribosomal RNA is filed under the name uncultured bacterium. RNAcentral's name for it is "partial 16S ribosomal RNA". It matches the Rfam family "Bacterial small subunit ribosomal RNA", at positions 28 to 526 of the family's 1533-position model. The record is from RNAcentral.